Molecule: ribosomal RNA, 254 nt
Filed under: uncultured bacterium
Lineage: Bacteria
Description: partial 16S ribosomal RNA
Rfam family: Bacterial small subunit ribosomal RNA
Source: RNAcentral
UACGUAGGGUGCAAGCGUUAUCCGGAAUUAUUGGGCGUAAAGAGCUCGUAGGCGGUUUGUCGCGUCUGCUGUGAAAACUGGAGGCUCAACCUCCAGCCUGCAGUGGGUACGGGCAGACUAGAGUGCGGUAGGGGAGAUUGGAAUUCCUGGUGUAGCGGUGGAAUGCGCAGAUACACGAGGAAGACACCGAUGGCGAAGGCAGAUCUCUGGGCCGUAACUGACGCUGAGGAGCGAAAGCAUGGGGAGCGAACAGG